RNAcentral lists this ribosomal RNA (551 nucleotides) under uncultured archaeon. RNAcentral's name for it is "bacterial SSU rRNA". It matches the Rfam family "Archaeal small subunit ribosomal RNA", at positions 325 to 876 of the family's 1478-position model. The record is from RNAcentral.
ACGGGGUGCAGCAGGCGCGAAAACUUUACAAUGCGGGCAACCGCGAUAAGGGGACCUCGAGUGCUGGGUUACAAACCUGGCUGUUGGGCUGCCUAAAAAGCAGUCUAUAGCAAGGGCCGGGCAAGACCGGUGCCAGCCGCCGCGGUAACACCGGCGGCUCGAGUGGUAACCGCUAUUAUUGGGUCUAAAGGGUCUGUAGCCGGCCGACUAAGUCUCUUGGGAAAUCUGGCAUCUCAAGUGUCAGGCUGCCAGGGGAUACUGGUCGGCUUGGGACCGGGAGAGGUGAGAGGUACCUCGGGGGUAGGGGUGAAAUCUUGUAAUCCUCGAGGGACCACCAGUGGCGAAGGCGUCUCACCAGAACGGAUCCGACGGCAAGGGACGAAAGCUAGGGGCACGAACCGGAUUAGAUACCCGGGUAGUCCUAGCCGUAAACGAUACUCGCUAGGUGUCGGCCACGGUGCGACCGUGGUCGGUGCCGUAGGGAAGCCGUGAAGCGAGCCACCUGGGAAGUACGGCCGCAAGGCUGAAACUUAAAGGAAUUGGCGGGGGAG